Molecule: ribosomal RNA, 667 nt
Filed under: uncultured beta proteobacterium
Lineage: Bacteria; Pseudomonadati; Pseudomonadota; Betaproteobacteria
Description: bacterial SSU rRNA
Rfam family: Bacterial small subunit ribosomal RNA
Source: RNAcentral
UAGAGUUUGAUCAUGGCUCAGAGUGAACGCUGGCGGCAUGCUUUACACAUGCAAGUCGAACGGCAGCGGGGGCUUCGGCCUGCCGGCGAGUGGCGAACGGGUGAGUAAUGCAUCGGAACGUGCCCAUGUCGUGGGGGAUAACGUAGCGAAAGCUACGCUAAUACCGCAUACGUCCUGAGGGAGAAAGCGGGGGAUCUUCGGACCUCGCGCGAUUGGAGCGGCCGAUGUCGGAUUAGCUAGUUGGUGGGGUAAAGGCCCACCAAGGCGACGAUCCGUAGCGGGUCUGAGAGGAUGAUCCGCCACACUGGGACUGAGACACGGCCCAGACUCCUACGGGAGGCAGCAGUGGGGAAUUUUGGACAAUGGGCGCAAGCCUGAUCCAGCCAUGCCGCGUGAGUGAAGAAGGCCUUCGGGUUGUAAAGCUCUUUCGGCCGGGAAGAAAUCGUGUUCUCUAACAUAGGACAUGGAUGACGGUACCGGACUAAGAAGCACCGGCUAACUACGUGCCAGCAGCCGCGGUAAUACGUAGGGUGCGAGCGUUAAUCGGAAUUACUGGGCGUAAAGCGUGCGCAGGCGGUUUGCUAAGACAGGUGUGAAAUCCCCGGGCUUAACCUGGGAACUGCGCUUGUGACUGGCAGGCUAAAGUACGGCAGAGGGGGUGGAAAUC